UACCAGCCCCCUGAGUGAUAGGGACGAUUAUUUAGCCUAAAGCGUCCGUAGCCGGCUUAGAAAGUCUUUCGUUAAAUCUGACGGCUCAACCGUUAGGCCGCGGAAGAUACUUCUAGGCUAGAGGGCGGGAGAGGUUGACGGUAUUUCCGGGGUAGGGGUGAAAUCCUAUAAUCCCGGGAGGACCACCAGUGGCGAAGGCGGUCAACUAGAACGCGCCUGACGGUGAGGGACGAAAGCUGGGGGAG
RNAcentral lists this ribosomal RNA (245 nucleotides) under uncultured archaeon. Its description in RNAcentral is "partial 16S ribosomal RNA". It matches the Rfam family "Archaeal small subunit ribosomal RNA", at positions 474 to 719 of the family's 1478-position model. The record is from RNAcentral.